AUGAACGCCGCCGCCGAUGUCCGCCGCCGCAGCACGCGGCUCCUUCCCCAGAUCCACGCGAGCGACGGAGUGGCCCGCCGCCGCAGCCCGCGCCUCCGUCCCCAGGCCCAGGCGAGCGAGGAGGUAGCCGGAGUGGCUCGACGGCGCAGCGCGUUCCUCCGUCCACAGAUCCACGCGGGUGAGGAGGCAUCCGGCCGCAGUCGUCGUCGCCGCCGCGGCAGCUCGCCGGCGGGGCUGUCCUCGCCGCUUGAGGUCGAAGAUCUUCUGUGGGAGAUCCUCCUCCGUCUCCCGCCGCAGCCCUCCUCCCUUCCACGCGCCUCGGCCGUCUGCAAGCGGUGGCGAUGCGCUGUCACCGACCCAAGGUUCCACCGCCGCUUCUGUCAACACCACCGGAAGCCGCCACUCCUCGGUUUCUUCGUACAAGACGGGGAUGGUUUGCUGUUCAAACCCGCCAUGGGCCCUCCCGACCGUAUCCCCAGUCGGCGCUUCAACCUGCGACUCCACAACAUUUGCGGCGGCACCGGUCGGCUGCUCGGGUGCCGCCACGGCCGCGUCCUCGUCAUAGACUCGCUGCACAAAGUGCUUAUUGUCAUUGCACCCAUCACCGGGACCAAGCUCUGUGUGCCCUUUCCGCCCAAGUUGAAAGGGGACAGCUUCAUCACCGGGACGGUGCUCUGCGCUGCUGCUGACCAUGACCACGUGCACGGAAGCUGCCACUUGAGCCCAUUCAAGGUGGUCCUGCUGUACUUGAGCAUCAGAGGUCCACAGCCCGCCUUUGCACAUGUUUACUCCUCAGAGACCGAUGUAUGGAGCGACCUCAUCUCAACACCGACUCCACCUAAGUUUUGUCAUACUGAUAGUCAUGCUUCACUUAUUGGUAAUGCACUUUACUGGCUGUGCAGAGGUGGAGAUUACAUACUUAGGUUUGAUUUGGAUGGGCACAACCUAGCUGUGAUCAGAGCGCCUCCCAUUACAAAUGAUGUCUGCUACCACAAUGGCAGCCAUCAGAUCAUUCAGGCUGUGGAUGGCGCCGUUGGUCUUGCCAUAUUGUCUGAUAAUGGCCAUACCAUCAAACGUGGCAAAAGGAGGUCAAUUCCCAGAGUGUUAACAAAUGGUUGUUGUGGCAGACCAUUGAAAUGCAUAACAUUCAUGGGUUACCUGCUCAGAUUGAAGGAAAGAAGGCAAGGUUAA
RNAcentral lists this ribosomal RNA (1191 nucleotides) under Triticum aestivum (bread wheat). RNAcentral's name for it is "partial small subunit ribosomal RNA". The record is from RNAcentral. Lineage: Eukaryota; Viridiplantae; Streptophyta; Magnoliopsida; Poales; Poaceae.